CCAAAGGCUCUUUUAAGAGCCACCACAUCCCCCUGAAAGGGCUUGU
Non-coding RNA from Xenopus tropicalis (tropical clawed frog), 46 nucleotides. The record is from Rfam. Lineage: Eukaryota; Metazoa; Chordata; Amphibia; Anura; Pipidae.